AUUGCAAAUUAAGAAUCUUGUCUAUGUUUCCAUAAAACAGUAAAGGGUGAUUUUCUCUUGUAAAGUGGCUUGAACCCCACAGCUAUAGCACAAGCAAGCAGGGUCAUCAAAAGCCACUCCAUUCUUCUGGAAACUGCAGAGAGAGGGAACCCGGAAAUCUGGUAUGCCGGCAAAAAGGGGGAAAAAAAAGGAGGAGAGAGAGAAGAGACAGAUUCAGUUGGCCUCAUGCUAUCUUCAUUGGAUCUUCUUUGGAAAGGUAUUCCACUAACAGCCCAAACUAUCGCAUUUUUAGUACCAGAAGUACUAUUAAGUUAGAGUAUGAAGGAACAUUAUUUACUGAGUGGAGUGUGCCAGAAACUUGUUUUGUGCUAAAUAAAAGCUCACCCACGACAGUAUUGCGUUGUUCCUCACCUGGUGUUCAUGCUAUAAAACCAAUUGUUACCGGCCCAGAUGAAGAAGAACGCUAUUUAUUUGUGGAAAGUUCUCAUACUUGCUUUCUGUGGUACUAUAGAGUUAGGCUAAAGGAAGAAGAAGCACCUUUGCAAUCUGGACAGAAAAUGAAAUUUACCUCGGAUACAUUCUUCUUAAAUUUGCCAGAUUACUAACUACCGCAGAACUGAAAAACAUCCUAAAUCUAUCAGUAACUGCUACUCUGACUAUAGACAGGGUUGAGUAUACAGGACACCCUCUGGAGAUUGCUGUGUUUUUAAAUUAUUGCACUGUAUGUACCAUCACCAAAAAGAUUUUCUUAGUGAUAUAUAAUGAAGAUACCAAACAGUGGGUUUCCCAAGACUUUACAUUAGAUGCCCCUAUUGACAGUGUUAUCAUGCCACAUUUUACAUUUUCAGCACUGCCAGGAUUACUGCUGUGGAACAAGCAUAGUAUCUACUAUUGUUACCAUAAUUUCACCUUUACUGGGAUUUUACAGACACCUGCAGGACAUGGAAAUCUAUCAAUGCUAUCAAAUAACAGCAUUAUUCAUGAAGUUUUAAUAGAUUAUUAUGGAGAUAUUUUGGUAAAAAUGGAAAAUAAUGUAAUAUUUUAUUCCAAGAUUAAUACUAGAGAUGCAGUAAAGCUGCAUUUAUGGACAAAUUACACAACAAAAGCAUUCAUUUUCUUAAAUACAUCUGGUCAAACAUAUUUCUUGUAUGCUUUGGACGAUGGCACAAUACAAGUACAGGACUAUCCCUUACAUCUGGAAGCAAAAAGUAUAGCUUUCAAGACAAAAGACAAAUGCCCAUACGUGGCAUUUCAUAAUAAUGUUGCUCGUGUUUUUUACUUUUUGGACAAGGGAGAGGCUCUGACAGUUUGGACUCAAAUUGUCUAUCCAGAAAACACUGGUCUGUAUGUUAUUGUGGAAUCUUAUGGCCCAAAAAUAUUACAAGAGAGUCAUGACAUUUCCUUUGAAGCUGCCUUUGGAUACUGCACCAAAACUCUGACACUAACAUUUUAUCAGACUGUAGAUUAUGAGAGAAUAUCUGAUUACUUUGAGACGCAGGACAACCACACGGGGCUUGUGGUGGUUCAAUUUCGACCUAGUGAAUAUUCAAAAACAUGUCCAAUGGCCCAAAAGGUGUUCCAAAUAGCUGUUGGCUGUGAUGAUAAAAAAUUCAUUGCAAUUAAAGGAUUUAGUAAAAGAGGAUGUCAUCACCAUGAUUUUUCAUACGUGAUUGAAAAGUCAUAUCUGAGGCAUCGACCAUCUAAAAACUUGGUAAGAAAACUAUAAAAUUUUGCCAAUGGACCAAAUAUAUAAAAUCACUAAAAUAUUUUUCCUUUUCUAGAGAGUAAGGUAUAUUUGGGGAGAAUAUGGCUGCCCUCUGAGGCUUGACUUCACAGAAAAGUUUCAACCUGUGGUUCAACUAUUUGAUGAUAAUGGCUAUGUUAAAGACAUUGAAGCAAAUUUCAUAGCGUGGGAAAUACACGGCAGGGAUGACUAUAGCUUUAAUAAUACUAUGGCACAGAGUGGUUGUUUACAUGAAGCACAGACAUGGAAGUCAAUGAUUGAACUUAACAAGCACCUCCCACUAGAAGAAGUCUGGGGACCUGAGGUAAGAGAAACAUUACCUUCCAAAUUGUUUAUUUGGAAUAACUAAUCUGGCAUUUUGCUAUUAACAAAAACUUGAUGGAAACAUUUUGGAUUAAAUUUGUUUUGGCAAAUCAAAUCCUAUUUUUAUAUUAAAUUGUAUCACGGUAUUUUUAAAAUGCUUCAUCUUAAUUUGUUUGAUCUUUUGUUGGUUCUGUGUUACUAUUUUAAUUUUCACUGCUGUAAAUAUGUGUUUGCAGAUUAUUAAAUAUCUGUUAAACAUG
Molecule: small RNA, 2307 nt
Filed under: Pongo abelii (Sumatran orangutan)
Lineage: Eukaryota; Metazoa; Chordata; Mammalia; Primates; Hominidae
Description: processed transcript
Source: RNAcentral